AGGCUCGAGCUACCUGCUGGAAUACCGAAGAACCGAUCCGCGGAACUGGCGCGAGCGACCUAAUCCACUAACGACAUGCGGAGACACUUUAGGAAAGCGCUUGCAAGUAACUUAAAAUAAUUCACUUUAUAUGGAAUUAUUAAUAAAACGCACCGGUUCCGUUUCACGUCGCAGUUAGUGUCUUGUAGGAAUGCGUUGGAGUUUGUGGUCUGGUCGACUCCAACAGAUGAUCGCCUUUGAACAACAGCGGAGUUGUUUAUGAACUGGGGAAGAUUUGAAGUCAGGCUCAGUCAGAGGGGGAGAGGAGACGAGGGGAGGGAGCAGAGGAGAGGGGCGCCCAGAAAACGCCCUGCUGCUCAAUCCUCUCAAAAUUAAAAGUUUAUCGCGCCGUUGAUGGCACGCUCGCAUUAAAGGAUGGGAAGUUUGAUUCCGCUCAGUUAUUUAAAGUAACCACUUCAUAGAUUGUUUUGAGGGGAAAGUUUGGAAAACCUCAAUCGUUCCCAUUGGAUUAUUUUUUUCUUCCGCUUUAUUCUGGACAAGCCCGGGGUACUUUUUGGAGGGUGGCAAGUCGAAGGCUGUCUAGGCCCGCUGCUCGACAACUUGAAAGAAGAUCUUGUAUCUUUAAUGUGAACCAGAAAAGUUGGGCAGAUCGCUCUUUGUUGCUCAGACUGGCGCCAGGACAAGGCAAAAAUGUCGCUAGGAGCGGAGAGAAGGAUGGAAAACCGGCUGAGACAACUGGAAGCCAUGCUCAAAGAGCCGCGGUCUGCGAUCAACGUGGAAAGUUUGCUGGAUUCCAUGAAUGCCCUGGUUUUAGAUUUGGACUUUCCGGCCUUGCGUAAAAAUAAGAACAUCGAGACCUUCUUGAACAGAUAUGAGAAGGUUAUGGGCCAAUUAAGGGAGCUCCAGAUGAAGCCAGAUGAUUUUGACCGAGUGAAGGUGAUCGGUAGAGGAGCAUUCGGAGAAGUCCAGCUGGUUAGGCAUAAGGCCUCUCAGAAGGUGUAUGCAAUGAAGGUGCUCAGCAAGUUUGAAAUGAUCAAACGUUCAGAUUCUGCCUUCUUUUGGGAGGAACGUGACAUCAUGGCAUUUGCUGACAGCCCGUGGGUCGUGCAGCUGUGCUGUGCGUUCCAGGAUGACCGUUCUCUCUACAUGGUAAUGGAAUAUAUGCCAGGAGGAGAUCUUGUCAAUCUCACCAGUACAUACGACGUUCCAGAGAAGUGGGCAAAGUUUUACACUGCUGAGGUUGUGUUGGCUCUGGACGCCAUUCACUCAAUGGGCUUUAUUCACCGAGACGUCAAACCGGACAACAUGCUGCUGGACCGCUACGGACACCUUAAACUUGCUGACUUUGGGACAUGCAUGAAAAUGGAUGGGACAGGGAUGGUUCAUUGUGACACUGCGGUCGGAACCCCUGAUUACAUCUCGCCGGAGGUUCUCAGGUCUCAGGGAGGGGACGGAUACUACGGACGCGAGUGUGACUGGUGGUCUGUGGGAGUAUUUAUCUACGAGAUGCUGGUUGGUGAUACACCGUUUUACGCCGAUUCUCUGGUGGGGACCUACAGUAAGAUUAUGGACCAUAAGAACUCUCUUAACUUUCCUGAUGACAUUGAGAUCUCUCAAGAAGCCAAAAACAUCAUCUGUGCCUUCCUAACAGAGAGGGAGGUUCGCCUGGGUCGAAAUGGCAUAGAAGAAAUUAAAAGACAUCCUUUCUUUAAAAAUGAACAGUGGACCUUCAGCACCAUUAGAGAGACUGCAGCACCUGUGGUUCCAGAGCUGAGCAGUGACAUAGACACAAGUAAUUUCGAUGAGAUAGAGGAAGAUAAAGGAGAAGUAGAGACCUUUCCCAUAUCCAAAGCCUUUGUUGGCAAUCAGCUGCCAUUUGUGGGGUUCACCUACUUUAAAGAAGACCAGUUGUUGAAUGCUGUUAACAGUUCAGCAAUGAAAGAUCACCCAGCAUCCAAGACAGAGGACAAUUUAGCACUCCAGAAGAAACUUCACUCUGUAGAAGAGCAGCUCAACAAUGAAAUGCAGGUCAAAGAUGAGCUGGAGCAAAAAUACAGAAGCAACUGUAGCCGCCUAGAGAAGAUCACCAAAGAGCUUGAUGAAGAAAUAAAUAGCAGAAAAGGAUUGGAGAUGACUCUGAGACAGUUGGAGAGAGAGAAAGCUCUCCUACAGCACAAGAACGUAGAGAGUCACCGCAGGGCAGAGAGUGAGGCGGACCGCAAACGCUGCCUGGAGAAUGAAGUGAACAGUCUGAAGGAUCAGCUGGAUGAAAUGAAGAAGAAAAACCAGAACUCGCACAUCUCCAAUGAGAAGAACAUCCACCUGCAGAAACAGCUGGAUGAGGCAAAUGCGUUACUGCGGGCAGAAACUGAUGCUGCUGCGCGGCUGCGUAAAACUCAAACCGAGAGUUCAAAACAGCUGCAGCAGCUGGAGGCUCACGUGAGAGAACUGCAGGACAAAUGCUGCAUGCUAGAGAACAGCAAACUCACCCUAGAGAGGGACAACAUCAGCCUGCAGGCCGCGCUGGACACAGAGAAACGAGAGCAAACCCAGGGCUCUGAGACCAUUUCUGAUCUACAGGCACGCAUCUCUGGUUUGGAGGAGGAAGUGAAACAGGUGAGACAGGCACUAUCUAAAGCUGAGACGGAGAAGAGACAACUUCAGGAGAAGUUUACAGAUCUGGAAAAGGAGAAGAGCAAUAACCAGAUUGACAUGACCUAUAAGCUGAAGAUGUUGCAGCAGGGGUUGGAGCAGGAGGAGGCGGCACACAAGGCCACAAAAGCUCGACUUGCCGACAAGAACAAAAUCCGCGAGUCCAUUGAAGGAGCAAAAUCUGAAGCUGUGAAGGAGCUGGAACAGAAGCUGCAGGAGGAGCGUUCCUCUAAACUGCGUGUGGAGAACAGGGUGUUAGAACUGGAGAAGAAGAACUCCAUGCUUGACUGCGACUAUAAACAGUCACUACAGAAACUAGAGGAACUGCGACGACACAAGGAGAGACUCACAGAAGAGGUGAAGAAUCAGAGUCUGAAGAUCGAGCAAGAGGUUCAGAAACGCACUUUGACUCAGAAUGACCUGAAGGUUCAGAACCAGCAGCUUAGCACUCUGCAAACAUCAGAGAAACAGCUCAAACAGGAGAUAAACCACCUGUUGGAAAUCAAACGUAGCCUGGAAAAACAAAAUAUGGAACUGCGCAAGGAGCGUCAGGAUUCUGAUGGGCAGAUGAAGGAGCUGCAGGAUCAGUUGGAGGCAGAGCAGUAUUUCUCUACGCUGUACAAGACACAGGUGCGGGAGCUGAAGGAAGAGUGUGAGGAGAAAAAUAAACUCUAUAAAGACAUGCAACAGAACCUGCAGGAGCUUCAGGAGGAAAGGGAUUCUCUUGCGGCUCAGUUGGAGAUCACACUAACGAAAGCUGAUUCGGAGCAGCUGGCGCGCUCCAUUGCAGAAGAGCAGUAUUCUGACCUGGAGAAGGAGAAGAUCAUGAAGGAGCUGGAGAUCAAAGAGAUGAUGGCCAGACACAGACAGGAGCUCGCUGAAAAAGACACCACCAUCACCUCAUUAGAGGAAGCUAAUCGCACAUUGACGAACGAUGUGGCAAACCUGGCCAAUGAGAAGGAAGAACUCAACAACAAGCUAAAGGAAACACAGGACUACCUGCAGAAUCUGAAGAAUGAAGAGGAGUCCAUCACUCAAGUGAAACUUGCCCUUGAGAAACAGCUUCAGUCAGAGAGAACUCUCAAAACACAGGCAGUGAACAAGCUGGCAGAGAUCAUGAACAGAAAGGAGGUCAGAGGUGGUGGAAGUCGCCGUGGAAAUGAUACAGACGUGAGGAGGAAGGAGAAAGAAAACAGGAAGUUGCAACUGGAGCUGCGUUCUGAGAAGGAGAAGCUCAACAGCACUAUCAUCAAAUACCAGAGAGAAAUCAACGACAUGCAAGCGCAACUGGCAGACGAGUCUCAGGUGCGUAUCGAGCUGCAGAUGGCUCUGGACAGUAAAGACAGUGAUAUUGAGCAGCUGCGCGGCCUGUUGAACUCUCUUAAUAUCCAGUCGCUCGACUCUGCCAGUAUGAGCAGCGGCCCGGACAUGGACACUGACGAGUCACCAUCAGAGACAAGACUGGAGGGUUGGCUUUCUUUACCAGUGAGAAACAACACCAAACGCUUCGGGUGGGAAAGGAAGUAUGUUGUGGUAAGCAGCAAGAAGAUUCUUUUCUACAACAGUGAGCAGGACAAAGAGCAUUCCAAUCCUUACAUGGUUUUGGACAUAGAUAAACUUUUCCAUGUGCGUUCGGUAACCCAGACAGAUGUCUAUCGCGCUGACGCCAAAGAGAUCCCCAGAAUAUUCCAGAUCUUGUACGCUAAUGAGGGUGAGAGCAAGAAAGAGCAAGAACUGGAACCUCUUCCUGGAGACAAGUCCAGCUACAUUUGCCAUAAGGGUCAUGAGUUCAUUCCCACCCUGUACCACUUCCCCACUAACUGUGAAGCCUGUACCAAGCCCCUGUGGAACAUGUUCAAACCACCUCCAGCUCUCGAAUGCAGACGAUGCCACAUCAAGUGCCACAAAGACCACAUGGACAAGAAAGAGGAAGUCAUCGCUCCCUGCAGAGUGAACUACGACGUGUCUACGGCUAAAAAUCUGCUGCUGUUAGCAUCUUCUCAGGAGGACCAGCAGAAAUGGCUUAGUCGGCUCAUGAAGAAGAUCCCUAAAAAACCUCCAGCACCAGAAGCCCCUCACCGCUCCUCUCCCAGAGUUCCUGUUAAACUACCAAGCAGUCAAUCCAUGAGGAGACCCAGCCGACAAAUACCCUCCAGCAAACCCAGGUCUGUGCACAACGUAAAGGAACCAACAGCAUGUCCGGAGAAAUCUGGCUUCAUCUACCACAAGGGCCAUGAGUUUAUUCCUUUAUUCUACCACUUUCCUGCCAACUGUGAGGCCUGUACCAAACCCCUGUGGAACAUGUUCAAACCUCCUCUGGCUUUGGAGUGCCAGAGAUGCCAGAUCAAAUGCCACAAAGAGCACAUGGACAAGAAAGAGGAAAGUCUCAGACCCUGUGCUCCAGACCCGUUCAACCCCCAAUUCAGCACGGGUCCCCCUCGACUGGACACUCCAAAGAUGAGGCGAGAAGACUCCACCAACAGCCUUCUGAACAAAUGAGUCCGUUUGAUUACCAUGUUUACAAACUGUUUAUCAAGAAGACAUUUCAGCUGUACUGUAAAAGGAAAAAACUGAAAGAGAACGUGCAUCAAAACAGUAUUUUUAUUUUUUAGUUAACCCUAUAUUGGGAUUCUGGUGCUGCUACAUGGUGAUUUGGGGUUCUUCCUGUCACACCAACAAAAGACCUUUGUCGUGACUUUUCGCACAUUUUGGCAAAUCCAAAAAAAGUGAGAGAUGCACAAAUAUUGAUGAAGGCUUUGCUGUCGUGGUAUGGCUUUUAUUCUCUGGGCAUACGGUUGCUUCGACUUCAAGAGCACUACAGAUCUACACAGAACUGAAGGGUCAGCGUCACACCAAACUUCUUACUCAUUUGAGGCCAGAGUUGACCUGAACACUAAGACUGAACCGGCCACAGAAUGUGGAUGACAGCUGGGUCUGACCGUUGUCUUAAUGGCUGAAUUUAGACAGUAGUGCAACACACCACAUAAACGGCUAGAAAACACUACAUAUGUUUCUCAUUCCUUCAUAAACACAAUGAAACUAGUUUCUUCUUGUAGUGUUUUUAACUUUGUUUACUCCACUGUGUCAUCAAAGCUUGAUUAAACCCCUGAUCAUGAAUGCAUCCCAUAAUGCUCUCUUGGACACCUGUGCUACUCACUCCCUAGUGUGAGUCAAAUGUAAUUGGAGGAGGAAGCUUAAUUAACGGGACAUGAUGGUAUGAUUAACAGAGAUCAGCAUCUAGAUGUGAGCUUUACAUGUGGCAGGAGUUUCUAGAAUGUUUCCAGCAGUCAGUUUGUUGCCGGUCGUCAUAUAAAGUUGAUCAUCAGCUGUUAAGUGUUGAAAUUUUGGGUCUCAUGCUAUGGCUUGCGCCAAAAACAGAUUCAUUUUGCAAGCACAUAACUGAAAUUUUCAUAAGACGGUGUCUGAAUGUCUGGAAACCACAUUUAAAUUCAUUAAGUAUUUUGUAGUUUUUUUAAACUAUUUUUUUUAUUUUGUGAUUUGAAGUCAUUUUGUGUGUGUGUGUGUGUAUCUUCACCCUACCAAACAGUGUGUAUCUCUGGGUGUGCUGUGAACGCAUAUCCGUGUUCUUUUACACGUUAUAUAUAUAAAUAUAUGAAUAUACAGCGUAUA
RNA transcript from Carassius carassius (crucian carp), 6282 nucleotides. It is a transcript of the gene named rho-associated, coiled-coil containing protein kinase 2a, with no coding region annotated. The record is from RefSeq and is a predicted model, not a curated record. The transcript has 33 exons. Lineage: Eukaryota; Metazoa; Chordata; Actinopteri; Cypriniformes; Cyprinidae.